Molecule: long non-coding RNA, 703 nt
Organism: Pseudophryne corroboree (corroboree frog)
Lineage: Eukaryota; Metazoa; Chordata; Amphibia; Anura; Myobatrachidae
Exons: 4
Source: RefSeq, a predicted model, not a curated record
AUUCCAGAGGGAACUCUGGUGUGGAGCACACUGCAGAGAGAAUAGCAAGCACUAAAGGACUGAGAGCAAUACAUUCACAUGUUCUCUACAGUUCAGAUGUAGUACUGCUAGCUGGACUGUAAUCUCUGCUUUAAUCAAGAUUCUGCAGACUUUCCAAACAGAGAAAUCUCAGGUGCAUAAUCAGCCAGGAAGGAGACUCAGUAAUUAGCAACACAGACACAUACAGCAGUUUGUAUGCUGAGCAGAACCUCCAGGCAAAUCUGGAUAUCUGGAUAUCCUAGCCUGCAGCAGAGGAAAAAUCACUUGCUCUGGGACCCCGGCAGCACCCACAAGCAAAUUAAAGUUUCCAGUUAGCUUAAUCAGUCAGUAAUUACUCACCUACCGAAGCGGUGUCUUAUUCAUCUAGCAUCUUUAGCCGGUCUUCUGCGGCAGCACAGCCCUUGCGCCAGCAAGCACCCAUUGAGCCUCCUAGCAGCCCUCAGGACUCACAGCAGACCCCUCCCCAGUGGCGAGAUGGAAGGUUGACCAUGGGGAGCCCAGGAGAACACUGGACAGUCUUGCAGAGAUUUACUAGGACUACUUCAAGCCCUAACCAGAGUAAAUGAUGAGAUCUUAAAAAGACAAAUUCAUUAUGAUUAAAAAAUAUCUCUAUCAAUAAUUUGGAGGAUACACAAGAGCCUAGGAAGGAAGACUACACAAGAAA